AUGGUGCCCGGUUAUACCGAUCUUGGAGAUUACCUGCCCGACGAUGUACAUUAUGAAAUCAUGGAGGUGGACGAACACAAAUACCAUUACGGGAAGCCUCUCGUCAAAGAUGUCAAAUCUCUAAGCACGAUGAUGCGAAGACUACAUGAUUGGUACAUGAAAACCUGCAGAGAGUCUGAUGGGAUGAGUACUUUAACGCUGAGAGUUAAACCGGAGCAUGACCUCGUUGGAAUUGAACUGCUGAAUGUUCCAUUUGAGGAUUUCCUCCAGUUUUACAAUCUAAAGUCCCUCGAUAAAACAACGAUCACUUGCUACUGUCUAUUGAAGAUCGCCGAAUUGAAGAAAAGACAAAUCGGUCAUAUUGGGUUCAUUAACACAAAUCUCAUAGAUGAUUAUCAGGUUAAAUUUCAUGCCAAAGAUACCGAGGCCAACUUGCUACAAUCGUUGGUAAUAAAUCAAAACAAAGAUAUAAUACUCUUUCCUUACAACUUCAACUUCCACUAUAUUCUCCUAGAGAUUAAGCUUGAGCCGGGAGUAGUAACCGUCUUAGACUCGAGAUGA
This 561-nucleotide ribosomal RNA is filed under the name Triticum aestivum (bread wheat). RNAcentral describes it as "partial small subunit ribosomal RNA". The record is from RNAcentral. Lineage: Eukaryota; Viridiplantae; Streptophyta; Magnoliopsida; Poales; Poaceae.